RNAcentral lists this long non-coding RNA (7151 nucleotides) under Physcomitrium patens. RNAcentral describes it as "long non-coding RNA (PPAT_LNC013525)". Lineage: Eukaryota; Viridiplantae; Streptophyta; Bryopsida; Funariales; Funariaceae. The record is from RNAcentral.
AAAUCUAUACGGAUGUCCUUCGACUGCUCACCGAAAUCCUUUUUGCCUCAGCCGGUAGGUCUCUAGACAUUACAGAGAACCCCAAACAACCCAAUCUCCUAAUCUCUGACACCGCUUUAUACUCACGACCUUGUAUCCACUGACUAUCUUGUUAGAUUAACCCAAAAAUUUUCAUUCAUUCCGCAUACUCAAUCCUAUAGACACCCUUUUAAUUCUUCAAUCACAGACGUAACUUCGAUUUCACAAAACAGUCAAGAGUAAUCACACCCACUUCAUUAAAACCCCGAUUCAUUAGUACAAUACAUCGACUAUUCAGCAUUGAUCGCCAGAAGUCCCUUUUCUGACCCUUACCCAAAAACCUUGUAUCCUCUUUUUUUCUUAACCUCCCUCCCCUUUAACCCUAAUUCUUCCCUCUUUCAAACCCUAGCCUCUGAAUUUCUUCAAUCUUCCAUCUUGGAUCCAAAAUUGGCUCCUGCCGUUAGAGCUUUCUCCUCCAUUUUUACCUUUAAGAGAUCUUUUUACCAAAAGGACGUUCCCAAAAUGGCACAAAGGACGGAAUAGCCUGAAACGAAAUCGGAGCCCCAUAAUCGGGACCACAUUGAGUCGCCCGACCAAUUCAAGUCUCAUAUUGAUUAAGAAGCCCGUAGUAAGACUUGGAUGUUCCCAUAAUUGGACCGCAUUGGAUUGCCCGACCAAGUCAGGUCUCAUAUUGAGUAAGAGGACCCGGAUUGGAUGUCUUGAAAUUGGAUCCAAUUGGCUCUUCGAACCAGGCUCACCCGUCAUUGAAUUGGUCUUUUCCCUUUCUGCUGACUCUCAUUAUUGGAAUCAAACGGAGCAUUUCAGUAUGCCCCGGUUGACUGUAUCGGGGUGAUUGACCCUGGCCUCUCAGUAUUUGCACUGGAAUUGGUCAUUGCUCCCAAUAUUCGAGGUAAUUGAAUAUGAAUAAAAGUCCCCUUUCUUUAUAUUUUCAUAAUAUAGUCGUAUUACAACACGACAUCCACCCCCUCUGAACUUGUGCAUCUUUCGGUAUGCACCAAUUUACCCAAUUGCUGUUUGAUUUAUAAUAUAUUCUCUACAUCUUUAUCCAGUUCGUCUUUGUCACCUUCAUUAUCCAAAUCACUUUCAUCUUCUUGCUGCGGAAUCUCUAUACCUUUAUUAAGGUCUUCAAUAUUCAUCUCUGCACGUCUUCGUUUAAAUAUUUUUACUCGCUUCCCUGCAAUUGAUAUUUUCAAUUUUAUACCAUCUAACUCCUGUAAUGAGUAAGUCACAUUAUCAUGAACAGUUGUUACUACAUAUGGUCCAAACCAACGUUUUGAAAAUUUCCACAUAGUACUAUGUUGGUUAUCCAGACUAUUAUCAUAAACAAGUAUCCAAUCACCUUCUUCGAUUGCUUUAGGUCUCAAUCAAUGUUGCUUAUCGAAUCGCGCCUUGUUUUGUAACCUUGCUCUUUUUAACCUUUUCAAUGCUAUCUGCACAUCUUCCAAUCUUUGCUCCAAUUGUCGAAUCCUAAUAGCCAGAAGUUCUUUUCUUGUCAAUCCAUCUUCCCAUGGUAGCAUACUCCAAGUAAGUACCUUUUCUUCAAUCAGCAUAAUUGGUUUUUGACCUCUCAUAAGUUCUACUGGCAUAUAUCAUGUCACCGAGCUAUGUGUUGUUCGAUCGGCCCGUAAUGCAAAUGACAAAAGCCGUGGCCACUCUUUAACUUUCCUAUUACAAGCUUUAACUAAUGCUUUUACAAUCGGUGGGUGACCACGUUCGCUUUUUGCAUUCCCUUCCGGAUUAUAAGCUGUAGUCAGUGAUAGUUUAACUCCACAUCUUUCAAAGAACUUACGAGCUUCUUGUGCAUUUAAUUCUCCACGAUCUGCAGUGAUUUUUCCUACGCAUCUAUAGUGGCAAAUGACAUCUUCAAGCAAAAACCUACAAAUCCCCUCUGUAGAUUUUGUCCUCAAUGCUCUUCCUUCUACUUGAUUUGAUAAAUCUUCACGAGCUAAGACCAAAUAUUUCAUCUGCCAUAACCCAACUGGCAUAAUAGCCAAAUCAACAAUCCAUUUAAAAUGAAUAGCGAGAGAAUACGUAGGAUGAAGGCCAUCUCGAUGUCGGAUAUUAGAAUACGAAUGACACAUUUCAUAUGAUUCUACAAAUGAGAGCACCUCUUGAUACAUAUUUUUCCACCAAUAUCGUUCCUUGAGUUUAGCAAAAGUAGCCCAGAUUCCUCUAUGCCCUGCCCAUAAACUACCAUGAAACUCCUUUAAUAAUUUUAGUUUUUCUUUCUUUUUGCCUAUCACUCAUCGUGGCAUCCCAAUUCCUUUCUUCGGUCUCUUCCAUAAGAAUCCAUCUCGAAGCAAAAAUCCAUAUGCUUUUUUUCUUAUUUGUUUGAAUUUUUCUGUAAACCAAUUCCCCUACUUACUCAAGGUAUUCAAGUAAUGAUCAAUAUCCAAUAAAUCUCCUUCAUAAGAUUCUUCAAUAAAUAGCUUGUCCUCCCUAUUGAGAUUUGAUAUUGAAUAGAAUUCAAUCCGACGUCAUCAAUGUCUUCAACCAUUUCGUCCUCCCUCUCGUAUCUUACUCGAGAUAGUAUGUCUGCUACUAAAUUGUCCUUCCCAGUAACAUGCUUAAAUUUUGGAUUUAGUGACUUAAUAUAAGCAAUCCAUCUCAACAUUGCAAUAUCUGGCGUUGAACAGUUAGUAAUCAUUCCAAGCAAUGGCAAGCAAUCUGUUUCAAUUACUACUACUGCCCCAAUCAAAUAGUCCUUUUCAGCUUUCAUAGCUAAAACAACUCCCCAAAGUUCUCUUUUGACUUGCGAAUAUGCAUGCUGACGAAUACUUAAAACUUUAGCUCCAAAUCAAACUGCAAAUCUAUUCUCACUUGAAUCAUCUUCACCCAUAGCCCAUCCAAUGGCAAUUGGACUAGCGUCCACAGUAAGAAUCACUGGUCUAUUGUACUUAUAAUCAACCUUCCUCAAUAUUGGAGGUGACAUCAAUAAUUUCUCCAAUAUUUGCAUUGCCUGAAUAUGCCUUUCUUCCCAUUUAAAUCGGUAACCCUUGCAUAAUAAUUCAUAUAAUGGAUCUGCUAUUUGAGCAUAAUGAGGGAUCCAGAUUCGAUAAAAUAUACAUGCACCUAAAAACCUGCCAACCUCUGUUAAAGAAUCAUAAUCCUCUUUCAUCCUUCCAAUUGCAUCAACUUUAGUCGGAUCUGGUUUUCUCCCGUAAAAUCCACAUAAAUGUCCAACAAUCACAACCUCUCGUACUCCAAAUACGGACUUCAUACCCGAUAAUGUAAGAUAAAUUCUCUAAGCCGAAUUAAAAUCUUUUCACAAUCUUGUAUAUGAUCAACAACAUAUUUGCGACACCCCCUCGUAUCUAAAGUUUCAUCCUUGUCUCCUUCUCUGCACCCUUUUAUAGGAACAUCAUCCAAAAAAGGCAUAGUCUUUUCCGGAAUAAAAUCUCUCAAUACCUUAUUCAUCCCAUUCAUCAUAUGUGCAAUUGAGUUGGUCGCGCCUUGAGGAAGAGUGCACAUUCUAACCAAUCUAAGUGGUGUCCUCAUCGUCGUCAUAUCUCUACUUCCUUUGGCAAGUUGAAAUUGAUCAUAACCAGAAUACAAGUCAUCCAUUGAAUAGAUUGCUCUUCCUGCAAAUGCCUCAGCAAAUUCAUCCACAAUAGGUCCAAUUCGUGCAUUCUUAAUAGUUACUGCAUUCACCGGUUGCAUAUCUUGAAUAAACCGUAGUGACCCAUUCUUCUUAGGUACCGUAAACCAUCGACUAGAAUACGGCGCAAAUGAGGGUUCCAAUAUUUUCAUCUUUAUCUUUUCUUUUAAUAGUUCCAUCAAUUUAGGUAAAUGUGCCCUCGGUACUGGAAUCGGUCUUAGAUUCUAAGGUACAUGCAGUAUAGUGAAGAUAACCAUAGGUGUUAUAAUAUUUGGAUCCACACACCCAAUUUCAUGAGAUUCAAAGGCAAACAAUCUACCUUGUUUAGCCAACAUCUUUUUGAAACAAGUAAUUUCCUCCGACAAUAAAGAACCAUAAGAACCAAUCUUCAAUUCUUCAAAAGUCUUUUUAGUGAACUGAUGUCCAAUACUCAUUGGAUCUCUUAAACUUGCUUCUUUUGAUGCUUCUCCCAUUUGUUCUUUAGAAUCUUCUGGUAAUGGUCCGGCAACAGGCUUUACCUUCUUAUCUGCCGUUUUAUAUCUCGUCUCUAUAGUGACUUCUGGUACUUGAAAAGAUUCAAGUAUGGUAUAAACCUCUCUUGAAUGAAUCUCAACAAUCUUAUCAUUAUUCCCUAACCCAAUAGAUGUAAUCAAUUCCAAUGAAUCUUCCAGUUCAUUUUCUUCAUAAACACCUAAAAUCCUUUCAUCAUCUUGCAAUGUACCUAACUUGCGUAAUUCUCCUUCAAUAUUAUAUAAUCUUUUUCUUUCUUUUCUUUUAAAAUCAUCAACUUUUUUAUACAUAAUAUUUCCAUUCUCCAAUAUACCAAUAAAACUUGCAUCAAAGGCACCUUCAUCUCAUGAGAGUAUUUCCUCUUUUGUACCUCCAUAAUCUCGCUUUAUAGUGGUACGUUUCCAAAAUCCUUAAAUCCUUCAACAAUCUUUGGCAAUGGUUUCUCCCUCAACCUAUCUCGAUUCCAUUCAUGGUUACGAGAUACUGUUAGAAAUUGUACAGCUUUCCUCCCAUCUUCGCUCCGUCUCCUUGCAUAAAAAGAACCAUCGUCAAGUAAUUUUGUUUCCAUCCGUGUUGCCGUGAUAUAAGGUUGUCCUAAAAUCAACGGAUAAGACGUUGUAUCUUGAACAAAGAAAUGUUGCUCCGUUGCAACAUCCCCAAUCCGAAUUUUGACAUCUGGACAAGCUCCAUAUAAUUCGCCCCGUGUGUUAAUAGCUGCUCGUAUUGCCCAUCCAUAUUCCAUAUCAAUUGGCCAUUUUUGCUUCUUAUAAAGAUCUUUAGACAUGAGAUUUAUUUCAGAACCAUGGUCGACUAAAGCAACAAUUGGUUCUUCUAUAUCUCCUACUUUCACCAAUACCUCAAUAGUUGCCCUUGCCCAAUGCUUUCAAGUAUAAUGGCUCAAAGUUUCCAUUUCCUUAUCACUAUAAUCUUUGAAACGUACUCGUUGAUUAUAUCCAUUCUUUUCAUUUGUUGGUUGCUUGUAACCAAUAUAAACCUCUUCUUCAUCUUUAUAUAUUCUUGCAUCAAUAGCAUGAUUCAUUCCGGUUUCACCUAUGAAUUGCCUCUUUCGUUUAAUGCUGUCAAUGAUAACAUCAUGAAACUCCUUCUUUGCAAUUCCCAAGACUUCUUUCAAUGUGAAUUUCACCUUAGCGUUUAAUAUACGUUCUUCCAACACCCCUUUCAAAUUUGUUGCCACUUCAAUGUCAGAAAGUAGUUUAUAAGCAAUUGAUUUGCCUUUAUCUUUUGUCUCCUUUGUUUUUUCUCCCAAUGAUGUUGAGGUAUCCUUUACAGACAAUUCUUGUGAAGCUGCCUCCCGAGCCUUGUCUCCUCGAGUUUGCCUCUUAGAAGAAUUUCCUUCUUUAGUAUCAUCAAAAUUUCCUCGUCUCUUUUCUUCCAUCAAAGGUUCAUGUUGGCUCUUAGCAAUAUAUGCAUGAACUGAAAGAGACUCAACAAGAUCCUCCCAACCUGUUGCACCUUGUAUUGUAGCUGCAGUCCUCAAUAAUGCUUCUCGAGGUAAUUUCCCUUCUUACAUUGUAGAAACGGUAGAAGGCCAAAACUCACUAAUUUUUGUUCUUCCACCAAGGUCAUCAUCUAAACCUGGUCUUGCCAAUUUGAUUUGAAGAUCUCGCAUUCCUCGUAUAAUUUCUUCCAUCCCCAUAUGUGCUUUCUUUGAUAAGGAUGUCAAAGGUUGAACUGUAGGCAUUGUUAGUGGUAUUGUACGUACAGGAGCUUUGGGUGCUUGUACUGUUUUUGGAAUAUUGCUCUUAUCCUUCCUCCUUUCUCUUUUUGCAAGCAACCCUACCGCAUCUUCAACGUUCUUCUACUUUGUUGUCAAUCCUUCAUCUUCUUCUUUGUGUUGAAGAAGGAGAUCUAAUUUCCCUUGCAAUUCUCCUUCAGCAGCUUGAAGAAAUAGAUCAACUUUGUUCGGCUCCAAUGUCAAUUUUUCUACCUUCGAUAAUUGACAGUACUGCCUCUCAAAUUUCCUUAGUAGCUUUGUUGCUUGUAAAUUCUUAUUCCAGAAACAGCUUCUUAGUAAUGCGAUCAGCAUCUUCCAAGAAAUAUUCGUCUUUCAAUGCAUGUGAAAAAACCUCCCAUGAAUUCUCAUAACGAUCCGUAAUCAAUGAUAUAUGGUCUCUUAUCUCCGGUAUCAUGGCAAGUCCAAAUAAUUCAACCAUUUUCUUCUCUGAAACUCGAUUUAAUUCCAUUUCACGAAUAUAAUAUCUUAAAUACCUUGAAAUAUUCUUUCCAUCAAAUUGAUCAAUUUUAUUGACCACUGCUUGCAAUGCUUUGGUUGCCAAAGCUUCCUUUCGAUGAUUGCUUUGCUGUUGCUGCAUUGAUAAUGAGAAGGCUUGAAACAUACUAGUAAUAGAUGGAUCCAUAUGCAUACCUUGUUCUUUAGAAGAAUCCCCACCAGAAACUCCUCGCAAAGAUCCUUCAAAAUUUUUAUUUUUAUUUUUCAUAGAAUAAAAAUAAAAUCAAAUGAAAUCCAAUACCUCUCACCUCAAGCUUUCAUUUGGGUUCACCACUUGUGUUAUAUUACGUAUUUUCUUGCUUGAGAAUGCAUCGGGCGUUUGGCUGUAAGAGGUAGUAUAGAGAUUCGCUAAUAUUCAUGCAUUCUAUCAGUUUUUGACUGUUGGAAUAUAAAAGAUUGCAAGAAUAUAUCGUAAAUCUAUACGGAUGUCCUUUGACUGCUCGCCAAAAUCCUUUUUGGCUCAGCCGAUAGGUCUCUAGACAUUACAGAGAACCCCAAACAACCCAAUCUGCUAAUCUCCUAUAUCGCUUUAUACUCACGACCUUGUAUCUACUGACUGUCUUGUUAGAUUAAUCCAAAAAUUUUCAUUCACUCCGCAUACUCAAUCCUAUAGACAUCCUAUUAAUUCUUCAAUCACAGACGUAACUUCGAUUUCACAAAACAAUCAAGAGUAAUCACACCCACUUCAUUAAAACCCCGAUUCACUAGUACAACACAUCGACUAUUCAGCAUUGAUCGCCAGAAGUCCCUUUU